UACGGGGGGGGCAAGCGUUGUUCGGAAUUACUGGGCGUAAAGGGCGCGUAGGCGGCCCGCUAAGUCGAACGUGAAAUCCCCGAGCUCAACUCGGGAACUGCGUCCGAUACUGGUGGGCUUGAAUCCGGGAGAGGGAUGCGGAAUUCCAGGUGUAGCGGUGAAAUGCGUAGAUAUCUGGAGGAACACCGGUGGCGAAGGCGGCAUCCUGGACCGGCAUUGACGCUGAGGCGCGAAAGCUAGGGGAGCAAACGGG
This 253-nucleotide ribosomal RNA is filed under the name uncultured bacterium. RNAcentral describes it as "partial 16S ribosomal RNA". It matches the Rfam family "Bacterial small subunit ribosomal RNA", at positions 524 to 776 of the family's 1533-position model. The record is from RNAcentral.